CAAGUCGAGCGAGAAUCGUAGCAAUACGAGGACAGCGGCGAAAGGGAGAGGAAUACGUAGAUAUCUGCCCCUGAGACCGGGAUAGCGUCGGGAAACUGGCAGUAAUACCGGAUAACGUCUUUGGACCAAAGGUGUGAUUCCGCUCGGGGAUGAGUCUACGCCCUAUUAGCUAGUUGGUGGGGUAAUGGCCUACCAAGGCGAUGAUGGGUAGCGGGUGUGAGAGCAUGAUCCGCCUCACUGGGGCUGAGAACUGCCCAGACACCUACGGGUGGCUGCAGUCGAGAAUCUUUGUCAAUGGACGAAAGUCUGAACAAGCGACGCCGCGUGCGGGAUGAAGGCCUUCGGGUUGUAAACCGCUGUCGUAGGGGAACAAAUGUAGAGGGGUUCUCCCCUUUAUUUGAGUGAUCCUAGGAGGAAGGAGAGGCUAAGCUCGUGCCAGCAGCCGCGGUAAGACGAGCUCUCCAAACGUUAUUCGGAAUCACUGGGCUUAAAGAGUUCGUAGGCGGCUCAGCAGGUCAGGUGUGAAAUCCCACAGCUCAACUGUGGAACUGCGUUUGAAACCGCUGGGCUUGAGGGAGACAGAGGUAAGCGGAACAGAUGGUGGAGCGGUGAAAUGCGUUGAUAUCAUCUGGAACACCGGUGGCGAAAGCGGCUUACUGGGUCUCUUCUGACGCUGAGGAACGAAAGCUAGGGUAGCAAACGGGAUUAGAUACCCCGGUAGUCCUAGCCGUAAACGAUGAGCACUAGUCUGUGGGGACCCUCACAUCCUCUCGGACGUAGCGAAAGUGUUAAGUGCUCCGCCUGGGGAGUAUGGUCGCAAGGCUGAAACUCAAAGGAAUUGACGG
Molecule: ribosomal RNA, 845 nt
Filed under: uncultured bacterium
Lineage: Bacteria
Description: bacterial SSU rRNA
Rfam family: Bacterial small subunit ribosomal RNA
Source: RNAcentral